UCCAUAACGCCAGAGGCCCCAAUAAGACCCUUAUUUCAGUUAUUUGGUUCGUUGCUGGAGCAAGACUUGGCUCGAACUCAAGCCUAUGUUGUUCUUCACUCACAAAGGGUAUCCAGAUCCCAGAAGAUGAUCAGGAUUGUGCUUCUACCUCCCUAACAAGCAAUUUCAUCGCAACGCAAGACACACACACAUACAAAUGUGAAAUAUGAAAUACGAAAGAUGCACCUGC
Molecule: non-coding RNA, 229 nt
Organism: Cajanus cajan (pigeon pea)
Lineage: Eukaryota; Viridiplantae; Streptophyta; Magnoliopsida; Fabales; Fabaceae
Source: RefSeq, a predicted model, not a curated record